RNAcentral lists this ribosomal RNA (251 nucleotides) under uncultured marine eukaryote. RNAcentral describes it as "partial 18S ribosomal RNA". It matches the Rfam family "Eukaryotic small subunit ribosomal RNA", at positions 1189 to 1456 of the family's 1831-position model. The record is from RNAcentral.
CUUAAUUUGACUCAACGCGGGAAAACUUACCAGGUCCAGACAUAAUGAGGAUUGACAGAUUGAGAGCUCUUUCUUGAUUUUAUGGGUGGUGGUGCAUGGCCGUUCUUAGUUGGUGGAGUGAUUUGUCUGGUUAAUUCCGUUAACGAACGAGACCGCCGCCUGCUAAAUAGUUCCGUGAAUCUAUUUUUGAUUGAUGAGAGCUUCUUAGAGGGACGUCCAUUCUACAAGAUGGAGGAAGAUGGCGGCAAUAA